GGGGCUGGGGCUCAGCGGUAGAGCAUUCACCUAGCAUGUGUGAGGUGCUAGGUUCGAUCCUCAGCACCA
RNAcentral lists this transfer RNA (69 nucleotides) under Ictidomys tridecemlineatus (thirteen-lined ground squirrel). RNAcentral describes it as "Spermophilus tridecemlineatus (thirteen-lined ground squirrel) tRNA". It matches the Rfam family "tRNA". Rfam says of the family: Transfer RNA (tRNA) molecules are approximately 80 nucleotides in length. Their secondary structure includes four short double-helical elements and three loops (D, anti-codon, and T loops). Lineage: Eukaryota; Metazoa; Chordata; Mammalia; Rodentia; Sciuridae. The record is from Rfam by way of RNAcentral.